Molecule: unclassified non-coding RNA, 148 nt
Organism: Pongo abelii (Sumatran orangutan)
Lineage: Eukaryota; Metazoa; Chordata; Mammalia; Primates; Hominidae
Rfam family: Metazoan signal recognition particle RNA
About the family: The signal recognition particle (SRP) is a universally conserved ribonucleoprotein. It is involved in the co-translational targeting of proteins to membranes.
Source: Ensembl
GCCGGGCGUGGUGGUGUACACCUGUAAUCCCAGCUACUCAGGAGGCUGAGGCAGGAGAAUCACUUGAACCCGGGAGACAGAGGUUGCAGUGAGCCAAGACUGCACCACUGUACUUCAGCCUGGGUGACACAGCAAGACCCUGCCUCAA